UACAGAGGGUGCAAGCGUUGUUCGGAAUUACUGGCGUAAAGCGUGCGUAGUCGGUAUUGAGAGUCACGGGUGAAAUCCCAGGGCUUAACCCUGGAACUGCCUGUGAGACCUCAGUACUAGAGUGUGAGAGGGGAUAGUGGAAUACCCAGUGUAGCGGUGAAAUGCGUAGAGAUUGGGUGGAACACCGGUGGCGAAGGCGGCUAUCUGGCUCACAACUGACGAUCAGGCACGAAAGCGUGGGGAGCAAACAGG
Molecule: ribosomal RNA, 252 nt
Filed under: uncultured bacterium
Lineage: Bacteria
Description: partial 16S ribosomal RNA
Rfam family: Bacterial small subunit ribosomal RNA
Source: RNAcentral